This 70-nucleotide transfer RNA is filed under the name Marmota monax (woodchuck). It matches the Rfam family "tRNA". From Rfam's summary of the family: Transfer RNA (tRNA) molecules are approximately 80 nucleotides in length. The record is from Rfam by way of RNAcentral. Lineage: Eukaryota; Metazoa; Chordata; Mammalia; Rodentia; Sciuridae.
GGGUCUGUAGCUCAUUGGUAGAGCAUUUGCUUAGCAUGCAUAAGGCCGGGGUUCCAUCCCCAGCACCCCA